Molecule: ribosomal RNA, 253 nt
Filed under: uncultured bacterium
Lineage: Bacteria
Description: partial 16S ribosomal RNA
Rfam family: Bacterial small subunit ribosomal RNA
Source: RNAcentral
UACAGAGGGUGCGAGCGUUAAUCGGAAUUACUGGGCGUAAAGCGUGCGUAGACGGUUAUUUAAGUCGGAUGUGAAAGCCCCGGGCUCAACCUGGGAAUUGCAUUCGAGACUGAAUAGCUAGGGUGCGGUAGAGGGAAGCGGAAUUUCCGGUGUAGCGGUGAAAUGCGUAGAUAUCGGAAGGAACAUCAGUGGCGAAAGCGGUUUCCUGGACCAGCACCGACGUUCAGGCACGAAAGCGUGGGGAGCAAACAGG